Molecule: ribosomal RNA, 783 nt
Filed under: Clostridioides difficile
Lineage: Bacteria; Bacillati; Bacillota; Clostridia; Peptostreptococcales; Peptostreptococcaceae
Description: partial 23S ribosomal RNA
Rfam family: Bacterial large subunit ribosomal RNA
Source: RNAcentral
GGUCAAGUUAUUAAGGGUGCAGGGCGGAUGCCUUGGCACUAGGAGCCGAUGAAGGACGUGAUAAGCUGCGAUAAGCUUCGGGGAGUUGCACGUAAACUUUGAUCCGAAGAUUUCCGAAUGAGGAAACUCACUUAGAGUAAUGUCUAAGUAUCAUUAAGUGAAUACAUAGCUUAAUGAGGGGAACUCAGGGAACUGAAACAUCUAAGUACCUGAAGGAAGAGAAAGAAAUUCGAUUCCGUAAGUAGCGGCGAGCGAACGCGGAUUAGCCCAAACCAAUAAAGUUUUCUUUAUUGGGGUUGCGGACAUAUCAUAACGAAGAGGUAUCGUAAUUGAAGAGGUUUGGAAAGACCCACCACAGAAGGUAAUAGUCCUGUAUGUUAAACGAGAAGACUUCAGAUAUGAUCCAGAGUACCACGGGACACGUGAAACCCUGUGGGAAGCAGGAGGGACCACCCUCCAAGGCUAAAUACUACCUAGUGACCGAUAGCGUAUAGUACCGUGAGGGAAAGGUGAAAAGAACCCCGGGAGGGGAGUGAAAUAGAACCUGAAACCCUGCACUUACAAGCUGUGGAAGCACAUUUCUUGUGUGACCGCGUACUUUUUGUAGAACGGGCCAACGAGUUACGUUAAGUAGCAAGGUUAAGCACUUAAGGUGCGGAGCCGUAGCGAAAGCGAGUUUUAACUGAGCGUUCAGUUACUUGACGUAGACCCGAAACCGGGCGACCUACCCAUGAGCAGGAUGAAGCGAAAGUAAAAUUUCGUGGAGGUCCGAACCCACGAGCG